Molecule: ribosomal RNA, 259 nt
Filed under: uncultured bacterium
Lineage: Bacteria
Description: partial 16S ribosomal RNA
Rfam family: Bacterial small subunit ribosomal RNA
Source: RNAcentral
UACGUAGGGUCCGAGCGUUGUCCGGAAUUACUGGGCGUAAAGAGCUCGUAGGUGGUUUUGUCGCGUUGUUCGUGAAAAACCGGGGGGCUUAACCCCUCGGCGUGCGGGGCGAUACGGGCAGACUGGAGUACUGCAGGGGGAGACUGGAAUUCCUGGUGUAGCGGUGGAAUGCGCAGAUAUCAGGAGGAACACCGGUGGCGAAGGCGGGUCUCUGGGCAGUAACUGACGCUGAGGAGCGAAAGCGUGGGGAGCGAACAGG